This 519-nucleotide long non-coding RNA is filed under the name Mytilus galloprovincialis (Mediterranean mussel). The record is from RNAcentral. Lineage: Eukaryota; Metazoa; Mollusca; Bivalvia; Mytilida; Mytilidae.
GUUUUUUUAGGUAAAACUAUUGAAAUAUUCUUCUAAAGGGGUGAAAUGUAGAUAUCUCGAACUAUUGUGUGGUAAAAUUAGCGAGAAAUUAAAGUUUCAAGCUGAAACCGCCUUAAUCCACACCUGACAACAAUCUACAGAUAGACGGACGGACAGACGGACGCAAAGUGAGACGAGACAGAUAACAAUUGCUCGCCUGACCAAUAUAUUUUUCAAACGAAAAUUUCUACUUUUACCAGCGAUUUUUAAUUGUCCUUUCAUACUAUCUGUUUUUUACUUUUUUGAUUUUCGGAGGUCGUGCCAGACUUCACUGUGUUCGCCACAAACAACUAAAAUCAGAAUGAGAUGCAUUUACGCAGUUAUAUUUAUUUUCUUGGGAUCCCAAGCAUACAGUAAUACGGUACAGAAUUCGGCUAAAUAUUUAGGUUGCAAGUGAGAAAUAAAUAUAGACACAGAGAAACAAAUUAAUAAACUAACCUUUCGCUUGAAACAGUAUUUCUAUCUUUCAUUACGCCGGGA